UUAAGUUAUUAAGGGCGCACGGUGGAUGCCUUGGCACUAGAAGCCGAUGAAGGACGUUACUAACGACGAUAUGCUUUGGGGAGCUGUAAGUAAGCUUUGAUCCAGAGAUUUCCGAAUGGGGAAACCCAACAUGAGUUAUGUCAUGUUAUCGAUAUGUGAAUACAUAGCAUAUCAGAAGGCACACCCGGAGAACUGAAACAUCUUAGUACCCGGAGGAAGAGAAAGAAAAAUCGAUUCCCUUAGUAGCGGCGAGCGAAACGGGAAGAGCCCAAACCAACAAGCUUGCUUGUUGGGGUUGUAGGACACUCUAUACGGAGUUACAAAGGACGACAUUAGACGAAUCAUCUGGAAAGAUGAAUCAAAGAAGGUAAUAAUCCUGUAGUCGAAAAUGUUGUCUCUCUUGAGUGGAUCCUGAGUACGACGGAGCACGUGAAAUUCCGUCGGAAUCUGGGAGGACCAUCUCCUAAGGCUAAAUACUCUCUAGUGACCGAUAGUGAACCAGUACCGUGAGGGAAAGGUGAAAAGCACCCCGGAAGGGGAGUGAAAUAGAACCUGAAACCGUGUGCUUACAAGUAGUCAGAGCCCGUUAAUGGGUGAUGGCGUGCCUUUUGUAGAAUGAACCGGCGAGUUACGAUUUGAUGCAAGGUUAAGCAGUAAAUGUGGAGCCGUAGCGAAAGCGAGUCUGAAUAGGGCGUUUAGUAUUUGGUCGUAGACCCGAAACCAGGUGAUCUACCCUUGGUCAGGUUGAAGUUCAGGUAACACUGAAUGGAGGACCGAACCGACUUACGUUGAAAAGUGAGCGGAUGAACUGAGGGUAGCGGAGAAAUUCCAAUCGAACCUGGAGAUAGCUGGUUCUCUCCGAAAUAGCUUUAGGGCUAGCCUCAAGUGAUGAUUAUUGGAGGUAGAGCACUGUUUGGACGAGGGGCCCCUCUCGGGUUACCGAAUUCAGACAAACUCCGAAUGCCAAUUAAUUUAACUUGGGAGUCAGAACAUGGGUGAUAAGGUCCGUGUUCGAAAGGGAAACAGCCCAGACCACCAGCUAAGGUCCCAAAAUAUAUGUUAAGUGGAAAAGGAUGUGGCGUUGCCCAGACAACUAGGAUGUUGGCUUAGAAGCAGCCAUCAUUUAAAGAGUGCGUAAUAGCUCACUAGUCGAGUGACACNUCGAUUCCCUUAGUAGCGGCGAGCGAAACGGGAAGAGCCCAAACCAACAAGCUUGCUUGUUGGGGUUGUAGGACACUCUAUACGGAGUUACAAAGGACGACAUUAGACGAAUCAUCUGGAAAGAUGAAUCAAAGAAGGUAAUAAUCCUGUAGUCGAAAAUGUUGUCUCUCUUGAGUGGAUCCUGAGUACGACGGAGCACGUGAAAUUCCGUCGGAAUCUGGGAGGACCAUCUCCUAAGGCUAAAUACUCUCUAGUGACCGAUAGUGAACCAGUACCGUGAGGGAAAGGUGAAAAGCACCCCGGAAGGGGAGUGAAAUAGAACCUGAAACCGUGUGCUUACAAGUAGUCAGAGCCCGUUAAUGGGUGAUGGCGUGCCUUUUGUAGAAUGAACCGGCGAGUUACGAUUUGAUGCAAGGUUAAGCAGUAAAUGUGGAGCCGUAGCGAAAGCGAGUCUGAAUAGGGCGUUUAGUAUUUGGUCGUAGACCCGAAACCAGGUGAUCUACCCUUGGUCAGGUUGAAGUUCAGGUAACACUGAAUGGAGGACCGAACCGACUUACGUUGAAAAGUGAGCGGAUGAACUGAGGGUAGCGGAGAAAUUCCAAUCGAACCUGGAGAUAGCUGGUUCUCUCCGAAAUAGCUUUAGGGCUAGCCUCAAGUGAUGAUUAUUGGAGGUAGAGCACUGUUUGGACGAGGGGCCCCUCUCGGGUUACCGAAUUCAGACAAACUCCGAAUGCCAAUUAAUUUAACUUGGGAGUCAGAACAUGGGUGAUAAGGUCCGUGUUCGAAAGGGAAACAGCCCAGACCACCAGCUAAGGUCCCAAAAUAUAUGUUAAGUGGAAAAGGAUGUGGCGUUGCCCAGACAACUAGGAUGUUGGCUUAGAAGCAGCCAUCAUUUAAAGAGUGCGUAAUAGCUCACUAGUCGAGUGACACUGCGCCGAAAAUGUACCGGGGCUAAACAUAUUACCGAAGCUGUGGAUUGUCCUUUGGACAAUGGUAGGAGAGCGUUCUAAGGGCGUUGAAGCAUGAUCGUAAGGACAUGUGGAGCGCUUAGAAGUGAGAAUGCCGGUGUGAGUAGCGAAAGACGGGUGAGAAUCCCGUCCACCGAUUGACUAAGGUUUCCAGAGGAAGGCUCGUCCGCUCUGGGUUAGUCGGGUCCUAAGCUGAGGCCGACAGGCGUAGGCGAUGGAUAACAGGUUGAUAUUCCUGUACCACCUAUAAUCGUUUUAAUCGAUGGGGGGACGCAGUAGGAUAGGCGAAGCGUGCGAUUGGAUUGCACGUCUAAGCAGUAAGGCUGAGUAUUAGGCAAAUCCGGUACUCGUUAAGGCUGAGCUGUGAUGGGGAGAAGACAUUGUGUCUUCGAGUCGUUGAUUUCACACUGCCGAGAAAAGCCUCUAGAUAGAAAAUAGGUGCCCGUACCGCAAACCGACACAGGUAGUCAAGAUGAGAAUUCUAAGGUGAGCGAGCGAACUCUCGUUAAGGAACUCGGCAAAAUGACCCCGUAACUUCGGGAGAAGGGGUGCUCUUUAGGGUUAACGCCCAGAAGAGCCGCAGUGAAUAGGCCCAAGCGACUGUUUAUCAAAAACACAGGUCUCUGCUAAACCGUAAGGUGAUGUAUAGGGGCUGACGCCUGCCCGGUGCUGGAAGGUUAAGAGGAGUGGUUAGCUUCUGCGAAGCUACGAAUCGAAGCCCCAGUAAACGGCGGCCGUAACUAUAACGGUCCUAAGGUAGCGAAAUUCCUUGUCGGGUAAGUUCCGACCCGCACGAAAGGCGUAACGAUUUGGGCACUGUCUCAACGAGAGACUCGGUGAAAUCAUAGUACCUGUGAAGAUGCAGGUUACCCGCGACAGGACGGAAAGACCCCGUGGAGCUUUACUGUAGCCUGAUAUUGAAAUUCGGCACAGCUUGUACAGGAUAGGUAGGAGCCUUUGAAACGUGAGCGCUAGCUUACGUGGAGGCGCUGGUGGGAUACUACCCUAGCUGUGUUGGCUUUCUAACCCGCACCACUUAUCGUGGUGGGAGACAGUGUCAGGCGGGCAGUUUGACUGGGGCGGUCGCCUCCUAAAAGGUAACGGAGGCGCUCAAAGGUUCCCUCAGAAUGGUUGGAAAUCAUUCAUAGAGUGUAAAGGCAUAAGGGAGCUUGACUGCGAGACCUACAAGUCGAGCAGGGUCGAAAGACGGACUUAGUGAUCCGGUGGUUCCGCAUGGAAGGGCCAUCGCUCAACGGAUAAAAGCUACCCCGGGGAUAACAGGCUUAUCUCCCCCAAGAGUUCACAUCGACGGGGAGGUUUGGCACCUCGAUGUCGGCUCAUCGCAUCCUGGGGCUGUAGUCGGUCCCAAGGGUUGGGCUGUUCGCCCAUUAAAGCGGUACGCGAGCUGGGUUCAGAACGUCGUGAGACAGUUCGGUCCCUAUCCGUCGUGGGCGUAGGAAAUUUGAGAGGAGCUGUCCUUAGUACGAGAGGACCGGGAUGGACAUACCUCUGGUGUACCAGUUGUCGUGCCAACGGCAUAGCUGGGUAGCUAUGUGUGGACGGGAUAAGUGCUGAAAGCAUCUAAGCAUGAAGCCCCCCUCAAGAUGAGAUUUCCCAACUUCGGUUAUAAGAUCCCUCAAAGAUGAUGAGGUUAAUAGGUUCGAGGUGGAAGCAUGGUGACAUGUGGAGCUGACGAAUACUAAUCGAUCGAAGACUUAAUCAA
Molecule: ribosomal RNA, 3852 nt
Filed under: Staphylococcus aureus
Lineage: Bacteria; Bacillati; Bacillota; Bacilli; Caryophanales; Staphylococcaceae
Description: bacterial LSU rRNA
Rfam family: Bacterial large subunit ribosomal RNA
Source: RNAcentral